This 788-nucleotide long non-coding RNA is filed under the name Sorghum bicolor (sorghum). RNAcentral's name for it is "long non-coding RNA (SBIC_LNC013088)". The record is from RNAcentral. Lineage: Eukaryota; Viridiplantae; Streptophyta; Magnoliopsida; Poales; Poaceae.
CCAAGGGGGAGUGCUGUAAAUCAAAGUCUUCAAACAGUGUAUGAAAAUGAGACUUUGAAUGUGGCCAAAUUAAUGAAGGAGGGAGAUGAAUUUCAAAGGUUUCAAAUCCUGUAGAGAGUUUGUAUUCACUCACAAUGUCCCUCUAUAAAUAGGGAGGGACUUUCAUUCUUGUACAUGACUAACCUGAAAGUGAAACACAGAGUAGAACUCCUCUUUCUCCUAUUUUCUGUGUGCUGAAUCCCUGUGUUUGUGAGUGCAAUUGAGAGCAUCCAGUAAACGAUUUCUAACAGUCACCAGAGCGAGGCAGAGUCACAAGGGUGGAGUGCAGUAGCCACACUAUGGUCGAGCGGAGUCGCUAGGGUCCUGGUGUAGCGGAGUCAUCGGCGGCGUGGUGGGCGCUGCAAGAAACAGAAAAUGGUUCAACGAAAGAGAGGAUACAUAGAGAAAUAGAGACAGGAAAAAGAUAAAUAAUGAAAGAAAAAAGAGAGAGAUUUUAGGAACAUUUUACCCUUCUUAUCUACUAUCUACCAUGAUGCGUUAUUUAGUCAAAUAAUUUAUUAAAAUAGUCUCAGCAUAAAAAGCUAAAAGCUACUCGUGAAGCCAAAACAAAAAAAAAACCUACUUCACCAAAAAAGCACACUAUACGAAAUGAGACCUUGACAUCUCCAUUGCCCUUAGUUUAAGACCCUGUUUAGCUUUUGAGAUGGUGAAAAUUGGCUUAUGAAAUUGGUGGUUAGUAUUUGGGUACCAUCACAGCUUUAAGCUUACAGAAACUAGAUCGUGGAAUC